UACGAAGGGGGCUAGCGUUGCUCGGAAUCACUGGGCGUAGAGGGUGCGUAGGCGGGUCUUUAAGUCAGGGGUGAAAUCCUGGAGCUCAACUCCAGAACUGCCUUUGAUACUGAGGAUCUUGAGUUCGGGAGAGGUGAGUGGAACUGCGAGUGUAGAGGUGAAAUUCGUAGAUAUUCGCAAGAACACCAGUGGCGAAGGCGGCUCACUGGCCCGAUACUGACGCUGAGGCACGAAAGCGUGGGGAGCAAACAGG
RNAcentral lists this ribosomal RNA (253 nucleotides) under uncultured bacterium. RNAcentral describes it as "partial 16S ribosomal RNA". It matches the Rfam family "Bacterial small subunit ribosomal RNA", at positions 524 to 776 of the family's 1533-position model. The record is from RNAcentral.